Molecule: ribosomal RNA, 465 nt
Filed under: uncultured bacterium
Lineage: Bacteria
Description: partial 16S ribosomal RNA
Rfam family: Bacterial small subunit ribosomal RNA
Source: RNAcentral
GAUGAACGCUGGCGGCGUGCUUAACACAUGCAAGUCGAACGAUGAAGCCCAGCUUGCUGGGUGGAUUAGUGGCGAACGGGUGAGUAACACGUGAGUAACCUGCCCUUAACUCUGGGAUAAGCCUGGGAAACUGGGUCUAAUACCGGAUAGGAGCGUCCACCGCAUGGUGGGUGUUGGAAAGAUUUAUCGGUUUUGGAUGGACUCGCGGCCUAUCAGCUUGUUGGUGAGGUAAUGGCUCACCAAGGCGACGACGGGUAGCCGGCCUGAGAGGGUGACCGGCCACACUGGGACUGAGACACGGCCCAGACGCCUACGGGAGGCAGCAGUGGGGAAUAUUGCACAAUGGGCGCAAGCCUGAUGCAGCGACGCCGCGUGAGGGAUGACGGCCUUCGGGUUGUAAACCUCUUUCAGUAGGGAAGAAGCGAAAGUGACGGUACCUGCAGAAGAAGCACCGGCUAACUACGU